UGGGGAAUUUUGGACAAUGGGCGAAANCCUGAUCCAGCAAUGCCGCGUGUGUGAAGAAGGCCUUCGGGUUGUAAAGCACUUUUGUCCGGAAAGAAAUCCUUGGCUCUAAUACAGUCGGGGGAUGACGGUACCAGAAGAAUAAGCACCGGCUAACUACGUGCCAGCAGCCGCGUAAUACGUAGGGCGCAAGCGUUAAUCGGAAUUACUGGGCGUAAAGCGUGCGCAGGCGGUUUGCUAAGACCGAUGUGAAAUCCCCGGGCUCAACCUGGGAACUGCAUUGGUGACUGGCAGGGCUAGAGUAUGGCAGAGGGGGGUAGAAUUCCACGUGUAGCAGUGAAAUGCGUAGAGAUGUGGAGGAAUACCGAUGGCGAAGGCAGCCCCCUGGGCCAAUACUGACGCUCAUGCACGAAAGCGUGGGGAGCAAACAGGAUUAGAUACCCUGGUAGUCCACGCCCUAAACGAUGUCAACUAGUUGUUGGGGAUUCAUUUCCUUAGUAACGUAGCUAACGCGUGAAGUU
RNAcentral lists this ribosomal RNA (518 nucleotides) under uncultured bacterium. RNAcentral's name for it is "partial 16S ribosomal RNA". It matches the Rfam family "Bacterial small subunit ribosomal RNA", at positions 355 to 866 of the family's 1533-position model. The record is from RNAcentral.